UGAGGAAUUUUGCACAAUGGGGGAAACCCUGAUGCAGCGACGCCGCGUGUAGGAUGACGGGGCUUUGCCCUGUAAACUACUGUCAGAAGGGAAGAAAAGUCUGCUAGGCGGACUGGGACAGUACCUUCAGAGGAAGGACCGGCUAACUACGUGCCAGCAGCCGCGGUAAUACGUAGGGUCCAAGCGUUGUCCGGAAUUACUGGGUAUAAAGGGUGCGCAGGCGGGCCUGUGCGUCAGGGGUUAAAUAUUCCGGCUUAACCGGAAAAAUGCCCUUGAUACGGCAGGUCUUGAAUACGAGAGAGGAUGAUAGAAUUCCUGGUGUAGCGGUGAAAUGCGUAGAUAUCAGGAGGAAUACCAGUGGCGAAGGCGGUCAUCUGGCUCGUUAUUGACGCUCAGGCACGAAAGCGUGGGGAGCAAACA
This 420-nucleotide ribosomal RNA is filed under the name uncultured bacterium. RNAcentral describes it as "bacterial SSU rRNA". It matches the Rfam family "Bacterial small subunit ribosomal RNA", at positions 355 to 774 of the family's 1533-position model. The record is from RNAcentral.